RNAcentral lists this small RNA (54 nucleotides) under human gut metagenome. RNAcentral describes it as "Streptococcus sRNA SpF59 (ldcC RNA)". It matches the Rfam family "Streptococcus sRNA SpF59 (ldcC RNA)". The record is from RNAcentral.
UGACCACUUCCGGUUCGGAAGUUAAGCCCAGACGGACAGGCGGGUCAAGUGCCG